AAAUAUUAAAAGGAUCACAAAUAUCACUCAAAUACAUCUCAACUCAAUCUUAAUUUAAUUCUAGUUAAAAUCCUAUUGAACUUCAUUCAAACUUUAGGCCAAAAACUAAUUGAAUCUUAAAUCCUAAUAAAAUCUUAAAUCCUAAAUCAAACCCUAAAAAAACCUUAAACUAAACCUCAACCAAAUCCUAAACCAAAUCCUAACCAAAUCCCAAACCAAACCUUAAAUCCUAACCAAAUCCUAAACCAAACCUUAAAUCCUAAAUCAAACACUAACCAAAAUCUAAUCUAAAUCCUAAAUCCUAAACCAAAUUCUAAACCAAAUCCUAAAUCCUAAACUAAAUCCUAACUAAAUUCUAACCAAAUCCUAAUCCAAACCCUAAACCCUAAACCAAAUCCUAAACCUUAAACCAAAUCCUAGUAAUUCCUACAAAAGAUUUAAACCUCAAUAAUUAAUGAAUAAACCGUUGAUCAUAACUCAAUUUUUUGACACUUCUAAAAAAAAUAUUUGAAAAUAAGCACAAAAAAAUUGAAAAAGAUCGGAGUUACCAAAUUGACGAUAACCUCAAAAAUAAUCUCGGAUAUUAGUUGGCCUCCUUCUCCAAUCUUGAUGCCAAUCUUCGAGAGCCAAAAUCUCUCCUUUACAUAGUUUGAUUGAUCUCAAAAUUCUUAUAUACAUAAAAAAACAAGUCUAAUAUCCUCUCACA
RNAcentral lists this long non-coding RNA (706 nucleotides) under Physcomitrium patens. RNAcentral's name for it is "long non-coding RNA (PPAT_LNC006757)". Lineage: Eukaryota; Viridiplantae; Streptophyta; Bryopsida; Funariales; Funariaceae. The record is from RNAcentral.